RNAcentral lists this unclassified non-coding RNA (429 nucleotides) under soil metagenome. RNAcentral's name for it is "partial contains 5.8S ribosomal RNA, internal transcribed spacer 2, and large subunit ribosomal RNA". The stretch from base 1 to 120 matches the Rfam family "5.8S ribosomal RNA", at positions 35 to 154 of the family's 154-position model. The record is from RNAcentral.
GAUGAAGAACGUAGUGAAAUGCGAUACGUAAUGUGAAUUGCAGAAUUCAGUGAAUCAUCGAAUCUUUGAACGCAUAUUGCGCUCUCUGGUAUUCCGGAGAGCAUGCUUGUUUGAGUAUCAGUAAACACCUCAACUCCCUUUUCUUUUUUGAAAUUGGAGCUGGACUUGAGUGAUCCCAACGCUUUCUUCCAAGAAAGUGGCGGGUUGCUUGAAAUGCAGGUGCAGCUGAACUUUUCUCUGAGCUAUAAGCAUAUCUAUUUAGUCUGCCUAAAAAACAGAUUAUUACCUUUGCUGCAGCUAACAUAAAGGAGACUAGUUCUUGUGCUGACUGAUGCAGGAUUCACAGAGACAGCUUCGGCUGACUUUGUAAACUCGAUCUCAAAUCAAGUAAGACUACCCGCUGAACUUAAGCAUAUCAUAAGCGGAGGA